RNAcentral lists this ribosomal RNA (492 nucleotides) under uncultured bacterium. RNAcentral's name for it is "partial 16S ribosomal RNA". It matches the Rfam family "Bacterial small subunit ribosomal RNA", at positions 29 to 507 of the family's 1533-position model. The record is from RNAcentral.
AGUGAACGCUGGCAGUAGGCCUAACACAUGCAAGUCGAACGGCAGCACAGUAAGAGCUUGCUCUUACGGGUGGCGAGUGGCGGACGGGUGAGGAAUACAUCGGAAUCUACUUUUUCGGGGGGGAUAACGUAGGGAAACUUACGCUAAUACCGCAUACGACCUACGGGCGAAAGCAGGGGAUCUUCGGACCUUGCGCGAAUGAAUGAGCCGAUCUCGGAUUAGCUAGUUGGGAGGGUAAGGGCCCACCAAGGCGACGAACCGUAGCUGGUCUGAGAGGAUGACCAGCCACACUGGAACUGGGACACGGCCAAGACUCCUAGGGGGGGCAGAGGUGGGAAACUUUGGACAAUGGGGGAAAGCCUGAUCCAGAAAUACGGGGUGGUUGAAGAAGUCUUUCGGGUUUUAAAGCCCUUUUGUUGGGAAAGAAAAGGAGCAGGGUAAUACCCCGAUGUUCUGACGGUAACCAACGAGUAAGCAACGGCUAACUUCGUG